This 1399-nucleotide ribosomal RNA is filed under the name metagenome. Its description in RNAcentral is "bacterial SSU rRNA". It matches the Rfam family "Bacterial small subunit ribosomal RNA". The record is from RNAcentral.
ACUGCCUGAUGGAGGGGGAUAACUACUGGAAACGGUAGCUAAUACCGCAUAACGUCGCAAGACCAAAGAGGGGGACCUUCGGGCCUCUUGCCAUCAGAUGUGCCCAGAUGGGAUUAGCUAGUAGGUGGGGUAACGGCUCACCUAGGCGACGAUCCCUAGCUGGUCUGAGAGGAUGACCAGCCACACUGGAACUGAGACACGGUCCAGACUCCUACGGGAGGCAGCAGUGGGGAAUAUUGCACAAUGGGCGCAAGCCUGAUGCAGCCAUGCCGCGUGUAUGAAGAAGGCCUUCGGGUUGUAAAGUACUUUCAGCGGGGAGGAAGGGAGUAAAGUUAAUACCUUUGCUCAUUGACGUUACCCGCAGAAGAAGCACCGGCUAACUCCGUGCCAGCAGCCGCGGUAAUACGGAGGGUGCAAGCGUUAAUCGGAAUUACUGGGCGUAAAGCGCACGCAGGCGGUUUGUUAAGUCAGAUGUGAAAUCCCCGGGCUCAACCUGGGAACUGCAUCUGAUACUGGCAAGCAUGAGUCUCGUAGAGGGGGGUAGAAUUCCAGGUGUAGCGGUGAAAUGCGUAGAGAUCUGGAGGAAUACCGGUGGCGAAGGCGGCCCCCUGGACGAAGACUGACGAUCAGGUGCGAAAGCGUGGGGAGCAAACGGGAUUAGAUACCCUGGUAGUCCACGCCGUAAACGAUGUCGACUUGGAGGUUGUGCCCUUGAGGCGUGGCUUCCGGAGCUAACGCGUUAAGUCGACCGCCUGGGGAGUACGGCCACAUGGUUAAAACUCAAAUGAAUUGACGGGGGCCCGCACAAGCGGUGGAGCAUGUGGUUUAAUUCGAUGCAACGCGAAGAACCUUACCUGGUCUUGACAUCCACGGAAGUUUUCAGAGAUGAGAAUGUGCCUUCGGGAACCGUGAGACAGGUGCUGCAUGGCUGUCGUCAGCUCGUGUUGUGAAAUGUUGGGUUAAGUCCCGCAACGAGCGCAACCCUUAUCCUUUGUUGCCAGCGGUCCGGCCGGGAACUCAAAGGAGACUGCCAGUGAUAAACUGGAGGAAGGUGGGGAUGACGUCAAGUCAUCAUGGCCCUUACGACCAGGGCUACACACGUGCUACAAUGGCGCAUACAAAGAGAAGCGACCUCGCGAGAGCAAGCGGACCUCAUAAAGUGCGUCGUAGUCCGGAUUGGAGUCUGCAACUCGACUCCAUGAAGUCGGAAUCGCUAGUAAUCGUGGAUCAGAAUGCCACGGUGAAUACGUUCCCGGGCCUUGUACACACCGCCCGUCACACCAUGGGAGUGGGUUGCAAAAGAAGUAGGUAGCUUAACCUUCGGGAGGGCGCUUACCACUUUGUGAUUCAUGACUGGGGUGAAAUCGUAACAAGGUAACCGUAGGGGAACCUGCGGUUG